This 313-nucleotide ribosomal RNA is filed under the name uncultured bacterium. Its description in RNAcentral is "partial 16S ribosomal RNA". It matches the Rfam family "Bacterial small subunit ribosomal RNA", at positions 500 to 807 of the family's 1533-position model. The record is from RNAcentral.
UAUAAGAGACAGCAGUAGCCGCGGUAAUACGUAGGUGGCAAGCGUUGUCCGGAAUUAUUGGGCGUAAAGCGCGCGCAGGCGGUCUCUUAAGUCUGAUGUGAAAGCCCCCGGCUUAACCGGGGAGGGUCAUUGGAAACUGGGAGACUUAGAGUGCAGAAGAGGAGAGUGGAAUUCCAUGUGUAGCGGUGAAAUGCGUAGAUAUUGGGAGGAACACCAGUGGCGAAGGCGGCUUUCUGGACUGCAACCGACGCUGAGGCUCGAAAGCCAGGGGAGCGAACGGGAUUAGAUACCCCAGUAGUCCCUGUCUCUUAUA